Molecule: ribosomal RNA, 146 nt
Filed under: uncultured Sulfurihydrogenibium sp.
Lineage: Bacteria; Pseudomonadati; Aquificota; Aquificia; Aquificales; Hydrogenothermaceae
Description: partial 16S ribosomal RNA
Rfam family: Bacterial small subunit ribosomal RNA
Source: RNAcentral
UCUACGGGAGGCAGCAGUGGGGAAUUCUACGGGAGGCAGCAGUGGGGAAUAUUGGGCAAUGGCCGAAAGGCUGACCCAGCAACGCCGCGUGGUGGAUGAAGCCCUUCGGGGUGUAAACACCUUUUCUGGGGGAAGAUAAUGACGUA